GUGUCAUCCUGCUCUGUUCCACCUGGGAUGCAAAUCAUCCCUUUGUCCAGCAGAUCCACACCAUAGACACUCCCCACCGUGAGUCACUCGGGUGCUGCCUGAGUUAUCAGAUCAACCAUCACAGUAUCCACAGCGCUGUGUUCAAGGAACUCUUAUUUUACAUGGUUAUAACCCCCAACCACAAGAGGAGUGAUGCUGACAAUUCGGAUCUGCCUAAGAAAAGCCAUAAAGUCCUUCCUUUAAGUGAAAAGUGAAAGUUCUCGACUUAAUAAGGAAGGAAAAAAAUAACUUCAUGCUGAGGUUGCUAAGAUCUAUGAUAAGAAGGAAUCUUCUAUCUGUGAAAUUGUGAAGAAGGAAAAAGAAAUUUGUGCUAGUUUUGCUGCUGCAAAAGCUACUGCCACAGUGCACGGAAAUGCCUCUUGAAUGGGAGAAGCUGCUGCUCCCCCAAAUUGCUGGGGAAGAAAGGGAGUUCCUGAUCUUUCUUAUUGAGGCUCAUGGAGCUUCUGUCCUGGAGAUUCAGUAUACUUCAGUAAUGGCUCUGGAGAAGAGAACUCAGGAUCCUCAAGACCCAAUGGCUCGUGAUGAUAAAAGCCUUUGGGUCUACCGACAUUUUCCCUACGUGCUCAGACAUGUCUGCAUGCAUUUAUUGGCAUAUUUUUCCAUACUCAAAGCAAGUUGCUAUGUGUUAGUACUAAAGCAACCCAUAAUAGUAAAAACGAAUUUCUGCACCAAGAGAAUGAAUCGGCAGCUGAGAAAGUCAGAGUGAAGAGGCCCCAGUAAUAUCUCUACCUACUUGAAGGUUAAAUAUUCCUAAGACUCUAGGAGGAAAGAGGAGAGAAAGUGGGCCCUGUUCUUUCCUCCAGGAUGUAAGGUUUUUCCAGGCUGCUUUGAAAAGUCUCAAUUACUCCAGGCUAUAGAAGAAUACAAUCAGAGGUGAGUUCCCUGAAAUCAAGGACACUGCCUUAUCUAAUGGUGCUGGGAGUGCAGCGAACUUGCUGGGGACAGUUUGAAGGAUCAUCUUAAGCUCUGAAACCAGGUUGCUGCCACCUGCUACAGAUCACCCACAGCCAAUGUCCUUGGCUGAGUGACACAGCUUCCCCGUGACCGCCACUGAUCCAGCCACCAAGUAUGCAGCCCAACCUAUGAAGCUGAGCCCAGAAGUGGCUCAAAAAAACAAGCCACAACCCAGAACUGAAUCACAACAGCCUUUUCCUUUAACACUAUACUUGCUCUAUUUAACCUCCGCCAUGGCCAAUUCAAUAGAUUCACAGAAAAUAUCAGCAGGACGCCUUGGUUCUCAACACCAAGUCUGGAAAGCUGGGUUUACACGCCCCACCUGAGCAAGCCUGAUCGGUGAUUGUGUUGGGCUCAUUCCUCACUUGGCCCCUUCAAGCAGAGAUAGGCCCUGCAAGAACUCUCUCUAGGAAUUGUUUUCUCAAUAUUUUAAAAUCCACUUUUCCUAUAUCCUAUCAAUGGGCACGGAGUGAGAGUGAUACAGGCAUGUGGAAUUUCACAAGGCUAGAUGUGCCAGCUUCAAGACUACUGAGCUUUAGGGGAAACCUGAGGCUCAGAGGUCAUCUUGCCUACAGUGACUAUUUGCAGGACUGAGCUCCCAGAGGUCACUGCGUGCCUUGGCUCAUGGCUCCUUUCUUCACCUUCAAAGUCAGCAAAACGGCAGAUCUUCCUGGCCCUUCUUCAGCUGUCGUGUUGUCCCCUGACCACGACCUCAGCUGGGGAAGCUUCUCCUCUUUGAAGGAUUCGUUUGAUUAGAUUGGACCUGCAGGAGUACCUCAAGAUCACCUUCUUAUCUCAAGAUUCUUAACCUGAAUCACAUCUGCAACGCGCUUUUGCCACAUAGGGAUCAUAUUCACAAGUUGUGGGGAUUGGGCUGGGGACAUUUCUGUUGAACUGUCAUUCCACCAUCACUGAUUGCCACAUUCCAAGUGCCAGAGUAAAGAAUGAA
Molecule: long non-coding RNA, 1963 nt
Organism: Homo sapiens (human)
Lineage: Eukaryota; Metazoa; Chordata; Mammalia; Primates; Hominidae
Source: Ensembl